AAAUGAAGACAGAGAUGAAACAAGAAGUACCCACCAGCUUCCUACCCUCUGAAGCAUCUCAACCCAAGCCAGACGGACAACAAUUCCAGAGUCGUAAGAGGCCUUAUGAAGAAAACCGGGGACGGGGGUACUUUGAACACCGAGAGGAUAGGAAGGGCCGCUCUCCUCAGCCUCCAGCUGAAGAAGAUGAAGAGGAAUUUGAUGACACCCUUGUUGCCACUGACACAUAUAACUGCGACCUUCACUUCAAGGUAGCCCAAGACCGGAGUAGCGGAGUAGCGACUAUCCGCUCACAAUUGAGGGAUUUGCAUACCUAUGGUCAGGAGCCCGAGCCAGCUAUAGGGUCAGAAGGGGUCGAGUGUGCUUUGAAAUGAAGAUCAAUGAGGAAAUUUCCGUGAAGCACCUUCCAUCUACAGAGCCUGACCCGCAUGACUCCUGCAGCACUCAGCUAGGCGAAGAGCCUUUCUCCUAUGGCUAUGAUGGCACUGGGAAGAAAUCCACCAAUAGCCGGUUUGAAAACUACGGAGACAAGUUUGCAGAGAACGAUGUGAUUGGCUGCUUUGCGGACUUUGAAUGUGGGAAUGAUGUGGAACUUUCCUUUACCAAGAAUGGAAAGUGGAUGGGCAUUGCCUUCCGAAUCCAGAAGGAAGCUUUGGGAGGCCAACCCCUUUACCCUCAUGUCCUGGUGAAGAAUUGCGCAGUGGAGUUUAACUUUGGCCAGAGAGCAGAACCCUACUGUUCCGUCCUCCCAGGCUUCACCUUCAUCCAGCACCUUCCCCUUGGUGAGCGGAUCCGGGGCACUGUUGGACCAAAGAGCAAGGCAAAAUGUGAGAUUCUGAUGAUGGUAGUAGGCCUGCCUGCUGCUGGCAAGACCACAUGGGCCAUCAAACAUGCUGCCUCCAACCCCUCCAAGAAGUACAACAUCCUGGGUACCAAUGCCAUCAUGGAUAAGAUGCGGGUGAUGGGCCUGCGCCGGCAGCGAAACUAUGCUGGCCGAUGGGACGUAUUGAUCCAGCAAGCCACCCAGUGCCUCAACCGCCUCAUCCAGAUCACAGCCCGCAAGAAACGCAACUAUAUUCUAGAUCAGACAAAUGUUUAUGGGUCUGCCCAGAGACGAAAAAUGACACCAUUUGAAGGCUUCCAGCGUAAAGCUAUUGUCAUUUGUCCCACCGACGAGGACCUGAAGGACCGAACAAUAAAGCGAACGGAUGAGGAAGGAAAGGAUGUCCCUGAUCAUGCUGUGUUAGAAAUGAAAGCCAACUUCAUGUUGCCAGACGUAGGGGACUUCCUGGAUGAGGUCCUGUUCAUUGAGCUGCAGCUGAGGAAGUAGACAAGCUGGUGAGGCAGUACAACGAAGAAGGCCGCAAGGCCGGGCCACCCCCUGAAAAGCGGUUUGACAACUGUGGUGGUGGUUUCCGGGGCAGAGGAGGUGAAGGCGGUUUCCAGCACUAUGACAACCGAGGGCCCUCUGGUGGCAACCGAGGAGGCUUUCAGAACCGAGGUGGUGGUGGUGGUGGAGGCGGCAACUACCGAGGAGGUUUCAAUCGAAGUGGCAGAGGUGGCUACAACCAGAACCGCUGGGGUAGCAACAACCGGGAUGACAACUCCAACAACCGAGGCAGCUACAAUAGGACCCCUCAGCAACAGCCACCACCACAGCAGCCCCCCUACCCUCAGCCCAGCUAUAACCAGUAUCAGCAGUAUGCCCAGCAGUGGAACCAGUACUAUCAGAACCAGGCCCAGUGGCCGCCAUAUUACGGGAACUACGACUACAGUAGCUACGCUGGGAGCACACAGGGCGGCACGAGCACACAGUAG
RNA transcript from Elephantulus edwardii (Cape elephant shrew), 1818 nucleotides. It is a transcript of the gene named heterogeneous nuclear ribonucleoprotein U-like protein 1-like, with no coding region annotated. The transcript is spliced from 2 exons. The record is from RefSeq and is a predicted model, not a curated record. Lineage: Eukaryota; Metazoa; Chordata; Mammalia; Macroscelidea; Macroscelididae.